This 1523-nucleotide ribosomal RNA is filed under the name human gut metagenome. Its description in RNAcentral is "bacterial LSU rRNA". It matches the Rfam family "Bacterial large subunit ribosomal RNA", at positions 445 to 1977 of the family's 2925-position model. The record is from RNAcentral.
AGCGGGGCCCAUCCCGUAAGGCUAAAUACUCCCGAGAGACCGAUAGCGAACCAGUACUGUGAAGGAAAGGUGAAAAGCACCUCGAACAGAGGAGUGAAAUAGUCCCUGAAACCGUCUGCCUACAAGCGGUCGGAGCAACGUAAGUUGUGACGGCGUGCCUUUUGCAUAAUGAACCUACGAGUUACUUUCUCCGGCAAGGUUAAGGGCUUCAGGCCCGGAGCCGAAGCGAAAGCGAGUCUUAAUAGGGCGUGAUAGUCGGAGUGAGUAGACGCGAAACCAAGUGAUCUACCCUUGGUCAGGAUGAAGGUUGGGUAACACCAACUGGAGGUCCGAAUGGGUAUACGUUGAAAAGUGUUCCAAUGAACUGAGGGUAGGGGUGAAAGGCUAAUCAAACUUGGAGAUAGCUCGUACUCCCCGAAAUGCAUUUAGGUGCAGCCUUUAUUUAGUAUAGCAUGAGGUAGAGCGACUGAUUGGAUGCGAGGGCUUCACCGCCUAUCAAGUCCAGAUAAACUCCGAAUGCGUGCUAUAUAUUGAUAAGGAGUGAGGGCGCGGGUGCUAAGGUCCGCGUCCGAGAGGAGAAGAAUCCAGACCAUCAGCUAAGGUCCCCAAAUAACAGUUAAGUUGAACUAACGAAGUCGGACUGCAGAGACAGCUAGGAUGUUGGCUUGGAAGCAGCCAUUCAUUUAAAGAGUGCGUAACAGCUCACUAGUCGAGGAGUCCGGCGUGGAUAAUACUCGGGCAUAAACUGUUUACCGAAGCUAUGGAUGUGUAAACACAUGGUAGGGGAGCAUUCCAACGGCGUCGAAGGUGAAGGAUGACCUUUGCUGGAGCUUUUGGAAACGCAAAUGUAGGUAUAAGUAACGAUAAAGGAGGUGAGAAACCUCCUCGCCGAAAGACUAAGGUUUCCUGAUCAACGUUAAUCGGAUCAGGGUAAGUCGGGACCUAAGGUUAAGCCGAACGGCGAUACCGAUGGAAGAAUGGUUUAAUAUUCCCAUACUACUUUAUGGAGCGAUGUGGAGACGGAGAAGUGACAGUCCUGCCAUCUGACGGAAUAGGUGGUUGAAGAGUGUAGAUGUAGAUUCCUGUAGGCAAAUCCGCAGGGAGAGUCGACCUUGACAGUAUGCCGCGUGCUUGCACAAGGCAAAAUGGACGUAAUCAGGCUCCCAAGAAAAUCCGCUAAGCAUAUUCAUAAAGUACCCGUACCGUAAACGGACACACGUAGUUGGGUUGAAAAUACUGAGGCGCUCGAGUGAUUCACGGUUAAGGAACUAGGCAAAUUGACCCUGUAACUUCGGGAUAAAGGGUCCCUACUGAGAGGUAGGGCGCAGAGAAUAGGUCCAGGCAACUGUUUAACAAAAACACAUGGCUGUGCGAAAUAGAAAUAUGAAGUAUACAGCCUGACACCUGCCCGGUGCUGGAAGGUUAAGAGGAGAGCUCAUCGCAAGAGAAGGCUUGAAUUGAAGCCCCAGUAAACGGCGGCCGUAACUAUAACGGUCCUAAGGUAGCGAAAUUCCUUGUCGGGU